Molecule: ribosomal RNA, 168 nt
Filed under: uncultured bacterium
Lineage: Bacteria
Description: partial 16S ribosomal RNA
Rfam family: Bacterial small subunit ribosomal RNA
Source: RNAcentral
UGCGCAACUGGGNGCGAAGCCUGAUCCAGCCAUGCCGCGUGUGUGAAGAAGGUCUUCGGAUUGUAAAGCACUUUAAGUUGGGAGGAAGGGCAUUAACCUAAUACGUUGGUGUUUUGACGUUACCGACAGAAUAAGCACCGGCUAACUCUGUGCCAGCAGCCGCGGUAA